This 218-nucleotide ribosomal RNA is filed under the name uncultured bacterium. RNAcentral describes it as "partial 16S ribosomal RNA". It matches the Rfam family "Bacterial small subunit ribosomal RNA", at positions 328 to 544 of the family's 1533-position model. The record is from RNAcentral.
ACGCUCGACACCUACGGGAGCAGCAGUGAGGAAUAUUGGUCAAUGGGCGCUAGCCUGAACCAGCCAAGUAGCGUGAAGGAUGAAGGCUCUAUGGGUCGUAAACUUCUUUUAUAUAAGAAUAAAGUGCAGUAUGUAUACUGUUUUGUAUGUAUUAUAUGAAUAAGGAUCGGCUAACUCCGUGCCCGCAGCCGCGGUAAUCUGAGCGGGCGUGGCAAGGC